Molecule: ribosomal RNA, 520 nt
Filed under: uncultured bacterium
Lineage: Bacteria
Description: partial 16S ribosomal RNA
Rfam family: Bacterial small subunit ribosomal RNA
Source: RNAcentral
GACGAACGCUGGCGGCGUGCCUAAUACAUGCAAGUCGAACGCACUCUCGUUUAGAUUGAAGGAGUUUGCUCCUGAUUGAUAAACAUUUGAGUGAGUGGCGGACGGGUGAGUAACACGUGGGUAACCUGCCCUAAAGUGGGGGAUAACAUUUGGAAACAGAUGCUAAUACCGCAUAAAACCUAAUACCGCAUGGUGUAGGGUUGAAAGAUGGUUUCGGCUAUCACUUUAGGAUGGACCCGCGGUGCAUUAGUUAGUUGGUGAGGUAAAGGCUCACCAAGACCGUGAUGCAUAGCCGACCUGAGAGGGUAAUCGGCCACACUGGGACUGAGACACGGCCCAGACUCCUACGGGAGGCAGCAGUAGGGAAUCUUCCACAAUGGACGAAAGUCUGAUGGAGCAACGCCGCGUGAGUGAAGAAGGUUUUCGGAUCGUAAAACUCUGUUGUUGGAGAAGAAUGUAUCUGAUAGUAACUGAUCAGGUAGUGACGGUAUCCAACCAGAAAGCCACGGCUAACUACGUG